Molecule: long non-coding RNA, 775 nt
Filed under: Hordeum vulgare
Lineage: Eukaryota; Viridiplantae; Streptophyta; Magnoliopsida; Poales; Poaceae
Description: long non-coding RNA (HVUL_LNC003673)
Source: RNAcentral
CUUGGAUCACCGAUAUUAGGGGCAAUGGUGUUAGAACUUGUAUGAAACCUUUAGCUGAAACUUAUUGUGUAAUGUUUAUUAAUUACUAAUAUGCUUAUAUGUACACAAUUGUGCAUUGAUAUCUUUUUUGUCUAUGUAGGUAUCAAGAAUAAGAUCAAGACGCCUGCAUAAGAGUAAGGAAUUUGGUCUAUAGUAGCGUUGUAUAUUUAUUUAAUAUAAACAACAUCUCAUCUGUACUCCUAAACUCUUCUAAGGUUUGAUUAGCAUAUAAUAUAAAUGUUGAACCAUUGUUAUCGUUUUUCACAUGUUUGGAAUUUCUGUAAAUAUCAAUCUCAUUGAAAGCAGCGAAUUUGAGUUGCCACAGUUUCAAUUUUAUUCUAUUUUGAAGUCAUGGUUACUUUAUGGUAAUUAUUUGUAACUUCUUACAAUUUUCUAUCAGGUUUGUCUAUCUCCAAAUUCCGUGAGAUAUAUUAGUGUUGGGGAACGUCGCAUGGGAAACAAAAUUUUUUCUACGCGCACGAAGACCUAUCAUGGUGAUGUCCUGCGGGUUCGAGAACUAUGUAGACAUGACCCGAGAGACUCCUCGGUCAAUAUCCAAUAGCGGGACCUGGAUGCCCAUAUUGGAUGCUACAUAUUCUACGAAGAUCUUAUCGUUUGAACCUCAGUGCCAAGGAUUCAUGUAAUCCCAUAUGUCAUUCCCUUUGUCCUUCGGUAUGUUACUUGCCCGAGAUUCGAUCGUCAGUAUCCGCAUACCUAUUUCAAUCUCGUUUGCCGG